CACGCUGCAUCACAGUAGACCUUCAGCUGCUGGGCAGAGUCCCAGCGGACAGUGACCUCGGGCUCGUCUAGUUUUGACUGUGUUGAGAAUGAAGCAGAGACCACAGCCGGAAAGAAACCGAAUUCCGGCUGAUGACACAGGCUCGGACUGCCAGCCUGCUGUAGCCUCUGAUUCCCGGCCAGGGACCCAAACAUGUCGCAUCCUGGGGACAAGAACUGCUACUCUGCUGUCCCCACAGCCCACCAGGAUCUUAAACUCCGCCCCGACCUGCCCACUGCCAAGGGGAUGUCCCAGCCAGAGUGACUUAGUUCUCAGCCAUUGCAGGAUGGAAAUCGGGUGCUCAUGAACAUCCCCAUUGUCUGCCUGCUUCUUCGGGCCUUCCAAGGGUCCUAGAAGGCUGCUUGAGAGAAGAAGCGUUUCAGCGUCUUCCAAAUGCCAGAUGUUUUUGCUGUUGCUGUGACAAAAUACUUGAGAUCAUCAACUCAGCAUGAGAAAAGGGUUCAUUCAGGCUCAUGGUUUCAGAGGUUUCAGUCCAUUGCUGGCUGGCUCCAUUGCUUUGAGGCCUGUUUGGAGGCAGAGCAUCAUGUUGGAAGCACGGAACAGCAGGAAGCUGAGAGAGAGAACCAAACCCCUCCAGGGCACCUCCCCAAAGACCUGCUUCUUCCAACCCAGCCCCUCCUGAAGUUCCCACCCCUGCCUCCCAGUAGCCCCUGAGACUGCGUGCGUGUGUCAGAGGACUGAUUCGCUGACUGUCAGAAGCCUCUCAUCCCACCCCUCCCAAAGCCACUUUUGGGGAAACAUUUAGGAUCCAUGCUGAAACACAGGCUGAACAGGAGGGGAGGGCAUUGGCCCUGAGGCCUGGGGCUGAGGGAGGGGUCAGGUUGUGUGUGUCACCAAGUGCAAGCUAGGACCCGCACUGCGUGAAUGCCGUGAAUGCCGUUGGCCCCUGGGAAUCAGCAGACAGCCGCUUCCGGUUCACAGGUUAUUUCUCAGGCCCUCAGCUCUUCCCUCGGCCAAGAUACCAGAGAUUCUAACUCCCACCUGUCCUACAAGCAGCGAGGAAGAAGGAAAGGCAAAUGACCCCCUGCCACCACGAGAAGAGCAAAGAGGGUGCAGCAUGCGUCCCUGCAGGCAGGAGGCUGGACUCUGGAAACCUCACCCAGAGGACACAGAAACACUUUUUGAAAUGCAGAAAUUUGCUGCGACACAGAUUGGGGGUGAUCUAGCUGUUCAGCAAUGGGGGAGCCACUUAGAAAUUGCCACACGCCCACACCCCAAACUCCACAGCUCUGGGACAGCAUGACACGGCCAGCCUCUGGCUCCCUGUGCCAUGAACACAGCAGAGCUGCCCCACGCGCAGGC
RNAcentral lists this long non-coding RNA (1362 nucleotides) under Heterocephalus glaber (naked mole-rat). RNAcentral's name for it is "lncRNA (ENSHGLG00100035344.1)". Lineage: Eukaryota; Metazoa; Chordata; Mammalia; Rodentia; Bathyergidae. The record is from RNAcentral.